GACGAACGCUGGCGGCGUGCUUAACACAUGCAAGUCGAACGGGACGUCCCUGCUUUUGUGGGGUGCUCUAGUUGCGAACUGGUGAGUAACCCUUGAGUUCCCUGCCCUUGCCUUUGGGAUAACUUCAUGACACUUGGUCUAAUACCGGCUAGGAUCUCCUGCUUCUUGGUGGGGGUUGGAUGGUUUCGGCGGUUGGUGAUGGACUCGCGUCUUAUCAGCUUGUUGGUGGGGUAGUGGCUUACCAAGGCCUUGACCGGUAGCCGGGCUGCGCGGGUGACCGGACACAUUGGGACGGAGAUACGGCCCAGACUACUACGGGAGGCAGCAGUGGAGAAGAGUGCACAAUGGGCGGAAGGCUGAUGCAGUCAAGCAGCGUGCGGGAUGAGGGCAAUCGGGUUGUAUUCCGAUUUCGCCUGUGACGAAGCGUGAGUGACGGUAAUGGGUAAAGAAGCACCGGCUAACUACGUG
RNAcentral lists this ribosomal RNA (468 nucleotides) under uncultured bacterium. Its description in RNAcentral is "partial 16S ribosomal RNA". It matches the Rfam family "Bacterial small subunit ribosomal RNA", at positions 28 to 507 of the family's 1533-position model. The record is from RNAcentral.